RNAcentral lists this ribosomal RNA (523 nucleotides) under uncultured bacterium. Its description in RNAcentral is "partial 16S ribosomal RNA". It matches the Rfam family "Bacterial small subunit ribosomal RNA", at positions 28 to 523 of the family's 1533-position model. The record is from RNAcentral.
GACGAACGCUGGCGGCGUGCCUAAUACAUGCAAGUCGAACGCUUUUUCUUUCACCGGAGCUUGCUCCACCGAAAGAAAAAGAGUGGCGAACGGGUGAGUAACACGUGGGUAACCUGCCCAUCAGAAGGGGAUAACACUUGGAAACAGGUGCUAAUACCGUAUAACACUAUUUUCCGCAUGGAAGAAAGUUGAAAGGCGCUUUUGCGUCGCUGAUGGAUGGACCCGCGGUGCAUUAGCUAGUUGGUGAGGUAACGGCUCACCAAGGCAACGAUGCAUAGCCGACCUGAGAGGGUGAUCGGCCACACUGGGACUGAAACACGGCCCAGACUCCUACGGGAGGCAGCAGUAGGGAAUCUUCGGCAAUGGACGAAAGUCUGACCGAGCAACGCCGCGUGAGUGAAGAAGGUUUUCGGAUCGUAAAACUCUGUUGUUAGAGAAGAACAAGGAUGAGAGUAAAAUGUUCAUCCCUUGACGGUAUCUAACCAGAAAGCCACGGCUAACUACGUACCAGCCGCCGCAGUAA